This 70-nucleotide transfer RNA is filed under the name Camelus bactrianus (Bactrian camel). It matches the Rfam family "tRNA". Rfam says of the family: Transfer RNA (tRNA) molecules are approximately 80 nucleotides in length. Their secondary structure includes four short double-helical elements and three loops (D, anti-codon, and T loops). The record is from Rfam by way of RNAcentral. RNAcentral also lists the same sequence under 1 other name. Lineage: Eukaryota; Metazoa; Chordata; Mammalia; Artiodactyla; Camelidae.
GGGCACAGCUCAGUGGUAGAGCAUGUGCUUAGCAUGCACGAGGUCCUGGGUUCAGUCCCCAGUACGUCCA